UCGAGGCGGGGGCAGGGGCAGAUCAACUCCUGAACAACAACAAAAGUCGCGUUUUUCCAGUUUGUACCAACGAGGAGAAACGUAACAAGAGCAGUGUCCACGAAGAGACCAGCUACAGCUACUGGGAAUCUGGUCUCUGAAGAGGUCCAGAGGAAGCUGGAGCACAAUCGGCCAUUGUGGGUUGUUGUAGGUGUCAGCUGAGAG
This is a long non-coding RNA of Notothenia coriiceps (black rockcod), 204 nucleotides long. RefSeq lists it as uncharacterized. The record is from RefSeq and is a predicted model, not a curated record. NCBI's taxonomy places the organism in Eukaryota, Metazoa, Chordata, Actinopteri, Perciformes, Nototheniidae. The transcript is spliced from 3 exons.